GACACUACACGUGCGAUAGAUAAUAAUUAUUAUCUAUCGCACGACUGAUUAUAAUCAGUCGUUUGGAUAUAUUUAUGGAGUUCAUAGUUCACUUACACUUGGCGGGAAAAAAGAACACAGCAGGAAAAGAUAAAUGAAAACAGCAAGUGUAACAGUAGGAAACAAACAAAAGGACAGAAAAGGGAGAUGCUGAAAGACCACACUAGGCUACAGUGAAGAAAACGAAGGAAAAGAAAAUUGAAAAGCAAAACAAGAGAUUAGGCAAAGUGUACGGAGAAACAGAGCUCGGUGCAGCGUGAAGUAAUAAGUGUGCAGAGUGAGGUAUUAAGUGUGCAUAGUGGAGCAUCUAAGUGUGCAGUGAAGUAUUAAGAGUGGAGAAUGAAGCAUCAAAGUGUGCAGAGUGAAGUAUUAAGUGUGCAGAGUGGAGCAUCUAAGUGUGCAGUGAAGUAUUAAGUGUGCAGAGUGGAGCAUCUAGGUGUGCAGUGAAGUAUUAAGCGUGGAGAAUGGAGCAUCUAGGUGUGCAGAGUGAAGUAUUAAGUGUGCAGAGUGGAGCAUCUAAGUGUGCAGAGUGAAGUAUUAAGUGUGCAGAGUGGAGCAUCUAGGUGUGCAGUGAAGUAUUAAGCGUGGAGAAUGGAGCAUCUAAGUGUGCAGAGUGAAGUAUUAAGUGUGCAGAGUGGAGCAUCUAGGUGUGCAGAGUGAAGUAUUAAGUGUGCAGAGUGGAGCAUCUAAGUGUGCAGUGAAGUAUUAAGUGUGCAGAGUGGAGCAUCUAAGUGUGCAGUGAAGUAUUAAGUGUGCAGAGUGGAGCAUCUAGGUGUGCAGAGUGAAGUAUUAAGUGUGCAGAGUGGAGCAUCUAGGUGUGCAGAGUGAAGUAUUAAGUGUGCAGAGUGGAGCAUCUAGGUGUGCAGUGAAGUAUUAAGUGUGCAGAGUGGAGCAUCUAAGUGUGCAGUGAAGUAUUAAGUGUGCAGAGUGGAGCAUCUAGGUGUGCAGAGUGAAGUAUUAAGUGUGCAGAGUGGAGCAUCUAGGUGUGCAGAGUGAAGUAUUAAGUGUGCAGAGUGGAGCAUCUAGGUGUGCAGAGUGAAGUAUUAAGUGUGCAGAGUGGAGCAUCUAGGUGUGCAGUGAAGUAUUAAGUGUGCAGAGUGGAGCAUCUAAGUGUGCAGUGAAGUAUUAAGUGUGCAGAGUGGAGCAUCUAAGUGUGCAGUGAAGUAUUAAGUGUGCAGAGUGGAGCAUCUAAGUGUGCAGUGAAGUAUUAAGUGUGCAGAGUGGAGCAUCUAGGUGUGCAGAGUGAAGUAUUAAGUGUGCAGAGUGGAGCAUCUAAGUGUGCAGUGAAGUAUUAAGUGUGCAGAGUGGAGCAUCUAAGUGUGCAGUGAAGUAUUAAGUGUGCAGAGUGGAGCAUCUAAGUGUGCAGUGAAGUAUUAAGUGUGCAGAGUGGAGCAUCUAGGUGUGCAGUGAAGUAUUAAGUGUGGAGAGUGGAGCAUCUAAGUGUGCAGUGAAGAAUCAAGUGUGGAGAGUAGAGCAUCUAAGUGUGCAAAGUGAAGUAUUAAGUGUGCAGAGUGGAGCAUCUAAGUGUGCAAAGUGAAGUAUUAAGUGUGCAGAGUGGAGCAUCUAAGUGUGCAUAGUGAAGUAUUAAGUGUGCAGUGGAGUAUAUAAGUGUGCA
This is a long non-coding RNA of Eriocheir sinensis (Chinese mitten crab), 1654 nucleotides long. RefSeq lists it as uncharacterized. The record is from RefSeq and is a predicted model, not a curated record. NCBI's taxonomy places the organism in Eukaryota, Metazoa, Arthropoda, Malacostraca, Decapoda, Varunidae. The transcript is spliced from 3 exons.